This is a long non-coding RNA of Lepus europaeus (European hare), 1408 nucleotides long. RefSeq lists it as uncharacterized. NCBI's taxonomy places the organism in Eukaryota, Metazoa, Chordata, Mammalia, Lagomorpha, Leporidae. The record is from RefSeq and is a predicted model, not a curated record. The transcript has 3 exons.
GGCAGCCGGCGCGGGGUCCGGGGCCUGACGCAGGGAGAAGUUAGGGCCGUGGGGCGCUUGCCGGCAGCUCUUCCUGGGUGCCGCCCCGGUGGGCCGCUUCUCGGAGCCGCGGCUUUGGGGAGGGGGCUGCGGCGCCCCUAGGCCUUGCGCAGACACCCAGCCCUGCCUCUGCCCUGCCGGGCGCCCCCGGCCCGCGCCCGCUCCUGGAGGCGCGCGCGGCUUCCCUCGUGUUCCGUGUGGCGUUGGUCUGUGAGACACGGCCGCUCUUCCUCAGAGCCCGACAGCCUCUCCCGCUGGCCCAUUCUGAUUGGUCUGGGGGUUUUUUUGGUAAUUUUUAGAUUUUUAAAAAUUACUUACUUGAGAGGCAGAGUUACAGACAGGGAGAGACAGAGGGGUCUUCCACCCGCUGGUUCUCUCCCCAGAUGACGUCAAGAGCCAGAGCUGCGCCGAUCCGGAGCCAGGAGCUUCUUCCAGGUCUCCCCUGUGGGUGCAGGGUCCCAAGCACUUGGGCCAUCUUCUACUGCUUUCCCAGGCCAUAGCAGAGAGCUGGUUCGGAAGAGGCGCAGCUGGGGCAUGAACCGGUGCCCAUCUGAGUUGCUGGCUUAGCCUACUAUGGCACGGUUCCGGCACCCCUAAUUGGUCUUAAUGGGCCGCGCUCUUGCCUGGUCACUAAAGAGACGGCAUCCUGCUGCAGCCUUGGGGCCGGUGACUGCCCCUCUCGGCAGAGCUUUCUUGACCCACUUUGCCGGAAAGUGGAGUGUGUCCCUGGUGUCCUGCUUGCCUGUCGUCUCCUACAGGCGCUGUGUGUGUCAGGGUCCCUCAGGGCCACAGGCCUCUUCUCUCCCCAGCCCCCAUCUCAACUCUGCUGCAUCCGUGGCUGUGGCUCACAGAUGCACGUUUCCUGUUGCAAAAUAGGAACCACCACGGGUCCACUCUGCCUUCUCCCAGGUACUUGAGGCAGGAGUUCGAACCCCAGUCGCUUCCCAGCUGCUGCCACCCUCCAGUGCACUUCAGCUGCUUCGCCUUCCUCCAGGGGCACCCGCCAGGGGAUUGUCACCAGCUCCAGAGCUCCAGCUGUUCCAAGAGCCACAGCCCCCAGAGUUGUCCCUAGCCACGUCUGCUGUUCCUGGCCCUGUGUCUACCGCGGAGCCGAGUCAGCCCCAGCCCUACGGUCAGGAAAGCCGGGAGGAGCACACGUCGUGUGUGUCCUGAGACAAAUCCUAGCAGCCACGAGAGGGUGUACGAACCUGCCUUUUCUGACCGACUGCAGCCUUUGAGGGGGUGGGACGUGCGCCAGGUCCCCAGCAAGGAUGACAUCUCAGAUCUGCACUCUGCCAUGGUGUGUAAAAAGCUUGCAGUCUCUCACCGCAGUGCUGACAAGUCUUAAAAGAGUGCUGGACACAGAAAG